Molecule: transfer RNA, 73 nt
Filed under: Albula glossodonta (roundjaw bonefish)
Lineage: Eukaryota; Metazoa; Chordata; Actinopteri; Albuliformes; Albulidae
Description: tRNA-OTHER
Source: RNAcentral
GCAUCCAUUGCAUAGUGGUUAGUGAGCUUAGCUUAUAACUAAGGGGUUGUGAGUUUGAUUCUCAGGUGACGUG